UUGAGGUUGUGGCUGGCUUCAACGAACGAAGCAUGUGCACGCCUCAAUUUACCAUCCACAUUUCUUGUACCUCUGUGCACGUCGCGUGGGUCAUGUUACCUGUCUGAAAUAAUGACAGGCAACUUUGCCCAUGUGUCUUUUAAACACACGCAUCUGUUUUUUGUUUCAAAGAACGUCAAUAGCUUUGUGCUUUAUUGCAUGCACACAAAUACAACUUUCAGCAACGGAUCUCUUGGCUCUCGCAUCGAUGAAGAACGCAGCGAAAUGCGAUAAGUAAUGUGAAUUGCAGAAUUCAGUGAAUCAUCGAAUCUUUGAACGCACCUUGCACUCCUUGGUAUUCCGAGGAGUAUGCCUGUUUGAGUGUCAUGGUACUUCUCAAAACCUGUUCCUCCUUUCUUUUCGGAGAGGGCGGACGGGUUUGGACUUGGAGGUUUUGUCGGAACCUGUAGUCCGACUCCUCUGAAUUGCAUUAGUUUGAACUGGUGUGGUUGUUUUUAUUCUCAUCAAGUGUGACUCAAUGUGAUAGUUCAUUUGCGUUGUUUCACAUUGGUGAGUCUCUUCAUCAGUUUCAAGCUUCAAAGUGUCCCUUCGGGACUGACUUUGGACAUCUGACCUCAGAUCAGGUAGGACUACCCGCUGAACUUA
This 645-nucleotide ribosomal RNA is filed under the name Flaviporus liebmannii. Its description in RNAcentral is "eukaryotic LSU rRNA". The stretch from base 213 to 366 matches the Rfam family "5.8S ribosomal RNA". Lineage: Eukaryota; Fungi; Basidiomycota; Agaricomycetes; Polyporales; Steccherinaceae. The record is from RNAcentral.